AGUGAACGCUGGCGGUAGGCCUAACACAUGCAAGUCGAACGGCAGCACAGGAGAGCUUGCUCUCUGGGUGGCGAGUGGCGGACGGGUGAGGAAUACAUCGGAAUCUGCCCAGUCGUGGGAGAUAACGUAGGGAAACUUACGCUAAUACCGCAUACGACCUUCGGGGGAAAGAGGGGGAUCGCAAGACCUCUCGCGAUUGGAUGAGCCGAUGUCGGAUUAGCUAGUUGGCGGGGUAAUGGCCCACCAAGGCGACGAUCCGUAGCUGGUCUGAGAGGAUGAUCAGCCACACUGGAACUGAGACACGGUCCAGACUCCUACGGGAGGCAGCAGUGGGGAAUAUUGGACAAUGGGCGCAAGCCUGAUCCAGCCAUACCGCGUGGGUGAAGAAGGCCUUCGGGUUGUAAAGCCCUUUUGUUGGGAAAGAAAUCUUUCAGGCUAAUACCCUGGGAGGAUGACGGUACCCAAAGAAUAAGCACCGGCUAACUUCGUG
This 490-nucleotide ribosomal RNA is filed under the name uncultured bacterium. RNAcentral describes it as "partial 16S ribosomal RNA". It matches the Rfam family "Bacterial small subunit ribosomal RNA", at positions 29 to 507 of the family's 1533-position model. The record is from RNAcentral.